This 429-nucleotide ribosomal RNA is filed under the name Gemmatimonadota bacterium. Its description in RNAcentral is "Gemmatimonadetes bacterium partial 16S ribosomal RNA". It matches the Rfam family "Bacterial small subunit ribosomal RNA", at positions 355 to 776 of the family's 1533-position model. The record is from RNAcentral. Lineage: Bacteria; Pseudomonadati; Gemmatimonadota.
UAGGGAAUCUUCGGCAAUGGACGAAAGUCUGACCGAGCAACGCCGCGUGAGUGAAGAAGGUUUUCGGAUCGUAAAACUCUGUUGUUAGAGAAGAACAAGGACGUUAGUAACUGAACGUCCCCUGACGGUAUCAAACCAGAAAGCCACGGCUAACUACGUGCCAGCAGCCGCGGUAAUACGUAGGUGGCAAGCGUUGUCCGGAUUUAUUGGGCGUAAAGCGAGCGCAGGCGGUUUCUUAAGUCUGAUGUGAAAGCCCCCGGCUCAACCGGGGAGGGUCAGUGGAAACUGGGAGACUUGAGUGCAGAAGAGGAGAGUGGAAUUCCAUGUGUAGCGGUGAAAUGCGUAGAUAUAUGGAGGAACACCAGUGGCGAAGGCGGCUCUCUGGUCUGUAACUGACGCUGAGGCUCGAAAGCGUGGGGAGCAAACAGG